AAUACACCAUGCAACUUUUACACAUAAAUACCUCUAAUUUACAACAAUUGCAAAUUAGUCCUUUUACUAAUAAAUUAGUAAACUUUAGUAUUUAACUAUAUUAUAAUUGUAAUUAAUCCAUCCGAUAAACUUCUUUUAUCGUAUCUUAAAUAUCGAUCAUGCGCGAUUUCUUAUGUGUGUGACCUAAUAGGUUCAAUUCUGUCUGGUAGUGGGAUAUGAUGUGAUCUCCAUUCACAUCAUCAUCGAAACUUUUUUUGAUGGCUCAAACUCUUUUGAUUCCACCCUUAUAGAAUAAUUAAUUAUCUAUAAUUAUUUCUAUUGGUUCUCACAAUCCACCAGUGACACCUAGCAGUAUGUAGUGGCAAUUCAGUCAGAAGUGAAUAUCGGACUGAACCUCUAGGUGCAGUUACCGUACAAUACAAUCCUUCUAUCGCAUAGUUCCAACUGAGUGGAGGUCAUUAAAUAUUCGUCAAACCCCUUCACCCG
Molecule: long non-coding RNA, 486 nt
Filed under: Ananas comosus (pineapple)
Lineage: Eukaryota; Viridiplantae; Streptophyta; Magnoliopsida; Poales; Bromeliaceae
Description: long non-coding RNA (ACOM_LNC033488)
Source: RNAcentral